Molecule: ribosomal RNA, 3008 nt
Filed under: Salmonella enterica subsp. enterica serovar Thompson
Lineage: Bacteria; Pseudomonadati; Pseudomonadota; Gammaproteobacteria; Enterobacterales; Enterobacteriaceae
Also listed under: 2 other names
Description: 23S ribosomal RNA
Rfam family: Bacterial large subunit ribosomal RNA
Source: RNAcentral
GGUUAAGCGACUAAGCGUACACGGUGGAUGCCCUGGCAGUCAGAGGCGAUGAAGGGCGUGCUAAUCUGCGAUAAGCGCCGGUAAGGUGAUAUGAACCGUUAUAACCGGCGAUACCCGAAUGGGGAAACCCAGUGUGAUUCGUCACACUAUCAUUAACUGAAUCCAUAGGUUAAUGAGGCGAACCGGGGGAACUGAAACAUCUAAGUACCCCGAGGAAAAGAAAUCAACCGAGAUUCCCCCAGUAGCGGCGAGCGAACGGGGAGGAGCCCAGAGCCUGAAUCAGCAUGUGUGUUAGUGGAAGCGUCUGGAAAGGCGCGCGAUACAGGGUGACAGCCCCGUACACAAAAGCGCAUGUGCUGUGAGCUCGAUGAGUAGGGCGGGACACGUGGUAUCCUGUCUGAAUAUGGGGGGACCAUCCUCCAAGGCUAAAUACUCCUGACUGACCGAUAGUGAACCAGUACCGUGAGGGAAAGGCGAAAAGAACCCCGGCGAGGGGAGUGAAAAAGAACCUGAAACCGUGUACGUACAAGCAGUGGGAGCCCCACCACUAAGCCAGUGGUGAACUCCACAUACGCAUCCUUUGCUGAAGGCAAUGGUUAACGGAGCGAAAGCGACGUUCAACCGCAAAAGAAGCAGAGGGGGCUUAGUGGUGGGGUGACUGCGUACCUUUUGUAUAAUGGGUCAGCGACUUAUAUUCUGUAGCAAGGUUAACCGAAUAGGGGAGCCGUAGGGAAACCGAGUCUUAACCGGGCGUUAAGUUGCAGGGUAUAGACCCGAAACCCGGUGAUCUAGCCAUGGGCAGGUUGAAGGUUGGGUAACACUAACUGGAGGACCGAACCGACUAAUGUUGAAAAAUUAGCGGAUGACCUGUGGCUGGGGGUGAAAGGCCAAUCAAACCGGGAGAUAGCUGGUUCUCCCCGAAAGCUAUUUAGGUAGCGCCUCGUGAAUUCAUCUCCGGGGGUAGAGCACUGUUUCGGCUAGGGGGCCAUCCCGGCUUACCAACCCGAUGCAAACUGCGAAUACCGGAGAAUGUUAUCACGGGAGACACACGGCGGGUGCUAACGUCCGUCGUGAAGAGGGAAACAACCCAGACCGCCAGCUAAGGUCCCAAAGUCAUGGUUAAGUGGGAAACGAUGUGGGAAGGCCCAGACAGCCAGGAUGUUGGCUUAGAAGCAGCCAUCAUUUAAAGAAAGCGUAAUAGCUCACUGGUCGAGUCGGCCUGCGCGGAAGAUGUAACGGGGCUAAACCAUGCACCGAAGCUGCGGCAGCGACACUCAGGUGUUGUUGGGUAGGGGAGCGUUCUGUAAGCCUGUGAAGGUGGCCUGUGAGGGUUGCUGGAGGUAUCAGAAGUGCGAAUGCUGACAUAAGUAACGAUAAAGCGGGUGAAAAGCCCGCUCGCCGGAAGACCAAGGGUUCCUGUCCAACGUUAAUCGGGGCAGGGUGAGUCGACCCCUAAGGCGAGGCCGAAAGGCGUAGUCGAUGGGAAACAGGUUAAUAUUCCUGUACUUGGUGUUACUGCGAAGGGGGGACGGAGAAGGCUAUGUUGGCCGGGCGACGGUUGUCCCGGUUUAAGCGUGUAGGUGUGUGUUCCAGGUAAAUCCGGUUCACUUUAACACUGAGGCGUGACGACGAGGCACUACGGUGCUGAAGCAACAAAUGCCCUGCUUCCAGGAAAAGCCUCUAAGCAUCAGGUAACAUCAAAUCGUACCCCAAACCGACACAGGUGGUCAGGUAGAGAAUACCAAGGCGCUUGAGAGAACUCGGGUGAAGGAACUAGGCAAAAUGGUGCCGUAACUUCGGGAGAAGGCACGCUGACACGUAGGUGAAGUGAUUUACUCAUGGAGCUGAAGUCAGUCGAAGAUACCAGCUGGCUGCAACUGUUUAUUAAAAACACAGCACUGUGCAAACACGAAAGUGGACGUAUACGGUGUGACGCCUGCCCGGUGCCGGAAGGUUAAUUGAUGGGGUCAGCGCAAGCGAAGCUCCUGAUCGAAGCCCCGGUAAACGGCGGCCGUAACUAUAACGGUCCUAAGGUAGCGAAAUUCCUUGUCGGGUAAGUUCCGACCUGCACGAAUGGCGUAAUGAUGGCCAGGCUGUCUCCACCCGAGACUCAGUGAAAUUGAACUCGCUGUGAAGAUGCAGUGUACCCGCGGCAAGACGGAAAGACCCCGUGAACCUUUACUAUAGCUUGACACUGAACAUUGAGCCUUGAUGUGUAGGAUAGGUGGGAGGCUUUGAAGCGUGGACGCCAGUCUGCGUGGAGCCGACCUUGAAAUACCACCCUUUAAUGUUUGAUGUUCUAACGUGGACCCGUAAUCCGGGUUGCGGACAGUGUCUGGUGGGUAGUUUGACUGGGGCGGUCUCCUCCUAAAGAGUAACGGAGGAGCACGAAGGUUGGCUAAUCCUGGUCGGACAUCAGGAGGUUAGUGCAAUGGCAUAAGCCAGCUUGACUGCGAGCGUGACGGCGCGAGCAGGUGCGAAAGCAGGUCAUAGUGAUCCGGUGGUUCUGAAUGGAAGGGCCAUCGCUCAACGGAUAAAAGGUACUCCGGGGAUAACAGGCUGAUACCGCCCAAGAGUUCAUAUCGACGGCGGUGUUUGGCACCUCGAUGUCGGCUCAUCACAUCCUGGGGCUGAAGUAGGUCCCAAGGGUAUGGCUGUUCGCCAUUUAAAGUGGUACGCGAGCUGGGUUUAGAACGUCGUGAGACAGUUCGGUCCCUAUCUGCCGUGGGCGCUGGAGAACUGAGGGGGGCUGCUCCUAGUACGAGAGGACCGGAGUGGACGCAUCACUGGUGUUCGGGUUGUCAUGCCAAUGGCACUGCCCGGUAGCUAAAUGCGGAAGAGAUAAGUGCUGAAAGCAUCUAAGCACGAAACUUGCCCCGAGAUGAGUUCUCCCUGAGACUUAGAGUCUCCUGAAGGAACGUUGAAGACGACGACGUUGAUAGGCCGGGUGUGUAAGCGCAGCGAUGCGUUGAGCUAACCGGUACUAAUGAACCGUGAGGCUUAACCUU